RNAcentral lists this small nucleolar RNA (101 nucleotides) under Thielaviopsis punctulata. RNAcentral describes it as "Ceratocystis radicicola Small nucleolar RNA snR60/Z15/Z230/Z193/J17". It matches the Rfam family "Small nucleolar RNA snR60/Z15/Z230/Z193/J17". From Rfam's summary of the family: The members of this family belong to the C/D class of snoRNAs which contain the C (UGAUGA) and D (CUGA) box motifs. Most of the members of the box C/D family function in directing site-specific 2'-O-methylation of substrate RNAs. The record is from Rfam by way of RNAcentral. Lineage: Eukaryota; Fungi; Ascomycota; Sordariomycetes; Microascales; Ceratocystidaceae.
CUGAUGUUAUGAUGAUUUCACAAAUAUAGCAUAGUUCAUCUGAUAUAAAAUGAUGACAACUGCACCUUUUAGUCUUUCGCUCCCAUCUGACUCUACAUCAU